Non-coding RNA from Schizosaccharomyces pombe (fission yeast), 445 nucleotides. The record is from the annotation of a GenBank genome assembly. Lineage: Eukaryota; Fungi; Ascomycota; Schizosaccharomycetes; Schizosaccharomycetales; Schizosaccharomycetaceae.
AAUUCUGCCGGAGUUAGUCUAAAACCCACAAGAGAGGAUGGAGGUGGUAGACUGUCAGCAAUCGAUUUCAGUUCUUGUUUAUCUUUAUUAGCAGCGGUUUCGGGAGCUUCUUCAUUUUCAUUGACUUGAAUUUUAAUACCAGACUUGGGAGCAAAGGGAGGAGGAUUGUAGCCAGCAAGAACGCGUUCGUAAAUAGCUGGGUCUGUCUCACUCUUAAGGCCGUAGUUGAAUGCAUAAAGACUGGCUGCUGCAACUAUGAAGUCAAAAUGCUCACGGUUGUGAAUAUCAAAAGAUAAUGGAGUAGGGGCACGCUUAGGACCAGACCAAAACGGUUGGCCAGUGGAGGUUACAGAAUCCUUAGGGAAAUUGAAAAGUAAUUGCUGAAUGUUGUUGUUAAAGAACUUAUCAAACUGCAAACGGGCCCACAUAAUACAUUCCUCAAAUG